AAUUUUGGACAAUGGGGGAAACCCUGAUCCAGCCAUCCCGCGUGUAUGAUGAAGGCCUCCGGGUUGUAAAUCACUUUUGGCAGGGAAGAAAAGGCUCUGGCUAAUACCUGGAGCUGCUGACGGUACCGGCAGAAUAAGCACCGGCUAACUAUGUGCCAGCAGCCGCGGUAAUACGUAGGGUGCAAGCGUUAAUCGGAAUUACUGGGCGUAAAGCGUGUGUAGGCGGUUCGGAAAGAAAGAUGUGAAAUCCCAGGGCUCAACCUUGGAACUGCAUUUUUAACUGCCGAGCUAGAGUAUGUCAGAGGGGGGUAGAAUUCCACGUGUAGCAGUGAAAUGCGUAGAUAUGUGGAGGAAUACCGAUGGCGAAGGCAGCCCCCUGGGAUAAUACUGACGCUCAGGUACGAAAGCGUGGGGAGCAAACAG
RNAcentral lists this ribosomal RNA (423 nucleotides) under uncultured bacterium. RNAcentral describes it as "partial 16S ribosomal RNA". It matches the Rfam family "Bacterial small subunit ribosomal RNA", at positions 360 to 775 of the family's 1533-position model. The record is from RNAcentral.